Molecule: long non-coding RNA, 667 nt
Organism: Zophobas morio
Lineage: Eukaryota; Metazoa; Arthropoda; Insecta; Coleoptera; Tenebrionidae
Exons: 4
Source: RefSeq, a predicted model, not a curated record
CCUAAUGUCAAAGGUAUAUUUUUUAUUCGAAGUUGUAGGAGUAUGCGGAAUGGAAGAAUUUGAACAAUUUUCUUGUAUCUACAUAACCUAUAAUAAGCUUUUAUUAUUAUUACAGAACAGAUUAUUAGCUUACAUGCCCAUUUUAAAUGAAAAAAGAUCUGCAGCAAUUGCAAAAUAGAGAUGGAUAGCUAUAAUAACAAGAAGUUUACAUGCAUUCGACCGAACUUGCAAAAACUGGCAGAUAAUAUAUCAAAUUUAUUAACCAGAAACUCAGCCACAGUUUAUGAAAAGCGGUAUGAAAAAUUUUUUUUUGGCGCAGAAACAACCAUGCAAAAUAUAUGGAGAACACCUCAUUGCAUACAAGUAUUUCGCUGAAAAAGCAAAUUCUGUGAAAUCUUUAACACUUUGGGCUGCAUAGUCGUAGUUAAAGUCAACUCUGUUAAUAAAAAACAGCAUAGAUAUAUCCAAGUACACCAAGUUUUCAAGCAAAAAAUAUAGGUUACAUUGCCAAGAAAUCAAAUAUAUUUACAAGAGAAGACUUACCAAAAUUUUUAACAGAAGCCCGUGAUUAAAUGUACCUGAUGUUAAAGGUUUAUUUUUUAUUAGAAGUUGUAGGAGCAUGUGGAAUGGAUAAAUUGAAAAAUAAUGACGGCAUUCAAGACAAAAA